ACGGGUGAGUAACGCGUGGGAACAUACCCUCCGGUUCGGAAUAACUCAGGGAAACUUGAGCUAAUACCGGAUACGGCUUAGCGGCGAAAGAUUGAUCGCCGGAGGAUUGGCCCGCGUUCGAUUAGCUAGUUGGUGAGGUAACGGCUCACCAAGGCGACGAUCGAUAGCUGGUCUGAGAGGAUGAUCAGCCACAUUGGGACUGAGACACGGCCCAAACUCCUACGGGAGGCAGCAGUGGGGAAUAUUGGACAAUGGGUGCAAGCCUGAUCCAGCCAUGCCGCGUGAGUGAUGACGGCCUUAGGGUUGUAAAGCUCUUUCGCUCGGGACGAUAAUGACGGUACCGAGAUAAGAAGCCCCGGCUAACUUCGUGCCAGCAGCCGCGG
This 383-nucleotide ribosomal RNA is filed under the name uncultured bacterium. RNAcentral's name for it is "bacterial SSU rRNA". It matches the Rfam family "Bacterial small subunit ribosomal RNA", at positions 102 to 520 of the family's 1533-position model. The record is from RNAcentral.